GGGUGUGAUCAUACCAGUACUAAUGCAUCGAAUCCCAUCAGAACUCCACAGUUAAGGGUGAUUAAGUGAGAGUAGUACUAGGAUGGGCGACCUCCUUGGAAGUCCUAUUGUUGCACUUU
This 119-nucleotide ribosomal RNA is filed under the name Vitis vinifera (wine grape). Lineage: Eukaryota; Viridiplantae; Streptophyta; Magnoliopsida; Vitales; Vitaceae. The record is from RNAcentral.